UAAGGGAUGUUAACUGAAAUUUUGAUCUCGCUUCCGCAUUUGAUAUAUUUAAAUACUCAUUUCAUUUUAAUGUUUCCGGGGCCGUUACAUUUUCUUUCAAACUAAUAUAUUGAGACAUAUUUACUUGCUUACGUUCCAAACUGGGACACCGUAAAAAUUUAUUUUUCAAUGAAAGAAGAAUGAAACUUAAAGCGAUACCAAAAAAUAUUUACUUACAAGAUCCACCCACAUUUUUUUUAAGUUCAAACUCCUGGACAGACACAGAAUUCAAUUGUCUCCGAAAAAAUCAAAAACCUUUUCUGUGGGUUCAAAAUGAAGAAUUACAACCUUUCUCACAUAAGUAAAUAUCCCGAUAAUCAAGCAUCCAUGUUUUAUGUCUGUGUCAAUUUGUCAACACUAUGUGAGAAAGUUAGCCGAAUCAUCAAGACAAAGUGUAUCAUCAAAGUAACUUUUUCUUUCAAACUAAUAUAUCGGGACAUAUUUACUUCCUUGCUUACGUUCCAAACUGGGACACCGUAAAAAUUUAAUUUUUAAAUGAAAGAAGCAAGAAACUUAAAGCGAUACCAAAAAAUAUUUACUCGAAAUCAGAAGAUCCAAUCACAUUUUUUUUAAGUUCAAAGUACCGGACGGACACAAAGAAUUUAAUUGUCUCCGAAAAAUUGAAAACAUUUUUUCGUGGGUUCAAAAUGAAGAGCUACAACCUUUCUCACAUAAGAUAAAUAUCCCGAUAACCAAGCAUCCAUGUUUUAUAUCUGCGCUAAUUUGUCAACUAUAUGUAAGAAAGUUUGCCAACUCUUCAAGAGAAAGUGUCAUCAAAGUAACUUUUUCUUUCAAACUAAUGUAUCGGAUCAUAUUUACUUGCUUGCUCACUUUUCAAACUGGAACAUUGUAAAAAAUCAUUUUUAAACGAAAGAAGCAAGAAACUUAAAACGAUAUAAAAAAAUAUUUACUUGCAAUGAGAAGAUCUAGCUAUUUUUGUUUUAAGUUCAAACUACUAGUGAGACACAAGGAAUUCUAUUUUCUCCGAAGAAAUCGAAAAGCUCUUCCUUAAACACGGAUACAAAUUUAUUUUCAAACAAUAAAUCAAUUUCCUCUCACUUUCAAUAAAAUAAAUUAAAGCACUUUUACUGACGAACAUAAACAAAUUUAGUUACCUGUUAUGGUUUAAAAAUGAAGAACGCCAACCAUUCUCACAUAAGAUAAAUAUCCCGAUAACCAAACAUUCAUAUUUAAUGUCUGUGCUAAUUUGUCAACUUUAUGUGAGAAAGUUAGCUGACUCUUCAAGACAAAGUGUGUCAUCAAAGUAAUUUUUUCUUUCAAAAUAAUAUAUUGAGACAUAUUUACUUGCUCGCUUACAUUCCAAACUAGGAUACCGUAAAAAUUUAUUUUUCAAUGACAUGAAAGAAGCAUGAAACUUUAAGCGAUACCAAAAAAUUUUUAGUUGAAGUCAGAAGAUCCAGCCACAUUUUUUUUUUUAAGUUAAAACUACUGGACGGACACAAAGAAUUCAACUGUCUCCGAAAAAAUCGAAAACCAUUUUCGUGGGUUCAAAAUGAAGAACGACAACUUUUCUCACAUAAGAUAUAUAUUUCGAUAACCAAGCAUCCAUGUUUUAUGUCUGCGUUAAUUUGUCAACUCUAUAUGAGAAAGUCUGUCUCUUCAAGAGAAAGUGUGAUAUCAAAGUAACUUUUUCUUUCAAACUAUAUACUGGAACAUAUUUACUUGCUCGCUCACUUUUCAAACUGGAAUAUUGUAAAAAGUCAUUUUUAAACGAAAUAAGCAAGAAACUAAAAACUAUACAAAAAAAAAAAAAAAAUUUACUUGCAAUUAGAAGAUCCAGCUAUUCUUGUUUUAAGUUCAAACUAUCAUUGAGACACAAGGAAUUCUACUUUCUCCAAAGAAAUCAAAAAGCUCUUCCUUAAAAAAUAGACGCCAAUUUAUUUUCAAGCAAUAAAUCAAUUUCCUCUUACUUUCAAUAAAAUAAAUUAAGGCACUUUUACUGACGAACAAAAACAAAUCUAGUUACCUGAUGUGGCUUCAAAAUGAAGAACGACAACCAUUCUCACAUAAGAUGAAUAUCCCGAUAACCAAACAUCCAUGUUUUAUGUCUGUGCUAAUUUGUCAACUUUAUGUGAAAAAGUUAGCCGACUCUUCAAGACAAAAUGUGUCAUCAAAGUAACUUUUUCUUUCAAACUAAUAUAUUGAGACAUAUUUACUUGUUUGCUUACGUUCCAAACUGGGAUAUCGUAAAAAUUUAUUUUUCAAUGAAAGAAGCAUUAAACUUAAAGCGAUACCAAAAAAUAUUUACUUGAAGUCAAAAGAUCUAGUCACAUUUUUUUUUUAAGUUCAAACUACCGGACAAACACAAAGAAUUCAAUUGUCUCCAAAAAAAUCAAAAAAAAUUUCGGUGGGUUCAAAAUGAAGAACUACAACAUUUCUCACAUAAGAUAAAUAUCCCGAUAACUAAGAAUCCAUGUUUUAUGUCUGCGCUAAUUUUUCAACUCUAUGUGAGAAAGUUUGCCAACUCUUCAACAGAAAGUGUCAUCAAAGUAACUUUUUAUUUCAAACUAAUAUAUCGGGACAUAUUACUUACUUGCUUACUUUUUAAACCGGGACACCAAAAAAAAAUUAUUUGAAAACAAAA
This 2644-nucleotide long non-coding RNA is filed under the name Carica papaya (papaya). RNAcentral's name for it is "long non-coding RNA (CPAP_LNC016536)". The record is from RNAcentral. Lineage: Eukaryota; Viridiplantae; Streptophyta; Magnoliopsida; Brassicales; Caricaceae.